UCCAAACCUUCCGCGUCCACCCAGUCCGGUCCUGGGAGCAGAAGCGGCGACUGACUCUGCUCAGACACCCAAGGAGCAGGGCCAAUCGGGGACAAUUAUUGUUCCCAAGCUGUUCCGGAUGAAGAAAUUGUUCGUCAAGAAGUCCAGCCAAUAAGUGCACCUUUUCUGACUUAAUCCUUGGCAUGCUUUAGUUGAUUUGUUGUCUUCUGACUCUUGACUUGCCGUGUAGCACCGACUUUGGGAUUGUGGAUCUGGGUAAUCGCAAAACCAACAAAGUAGUCGACGAUAUUUCCCAUGUCCUGCCGGAUCCUCGGACUACUGUGAUCCAGUUAGAUCCAGCAGCCGAGGACUCUUCUGUCAACAAAGCAGGAGAUAGAUCCGCGGGAGUGGAGAAGGAAGUUGCGGGGAAAAAGAUCUCUACUGCUGAUGCUGAUGUGCAGUCAGUUGAACUGCCACGAACCCCGCCGACUACCCUGGAUGCUGACCAAUUAAUGCAUCAUGAGCUGCAAGAAAAAAUAGAGAAGUCGACAGAAAGGACGGAUUUUCUUGCAAAAGAAAUCUGGGAGAGUCAUAGUGUUCUGAUGGAACUGGCCAAACAAGUUGCCGACCAGGCUCAGCGGCUUCGACUAGCUGGUGUGAGCUUGCAGCUUUCCACUGCAGAAGCAUCAGCUCCAGAAGAUUGCGGCUCUUGAAAAAGCUUUUGAGGAGCUGAAGGCUGAGCACUAGAAGCAAGUCGAUCUCCUGCAGUCCAGAGUAGAUACUUUGGGAAAAGAUAAGAGUGCCCUCGAAGAGAGGAUCAAAAUACUGCAGGAGAAGAAUAGAAGUUUAUCAAAGGAGUAUAAAGAACUCAAAAAAUUGCUAGUAACAAAAGAGGAACUGGUGACUGAACUGAUGAAUAUUGUGUACCAUCACACAUAUGUUGUGGAGAAGCUGACCAAAGUCCAGGCUGAUUCCGACAAGCAGCAAGGAUCUGGCGGCUGAUUGGGACCUAAAGGCCAAGCAAGUAGCCGAUCUCGAAGCAGCAGUGCAAGAAGUUGUUAAGAUGAUCGACGAAGGCGGUCCUUGUGACAAGACUUUGGUGGAGCGUCUCCGUGGAGGACCCCAUAAGAUUUUCAGCUUUCUUUCUGAUACUUCUAGGCAGUAUUUAGCUCAUGCUCUAGGAUUAGUAAAAUCUUUCUGGCCUAUAGCGAACUUAGCCCUUAUUGGAGAUAGGAUGACAAACGGCUGUUCAGAGAAGAAAUUCUAUGAAUAUGUCAAAGAAAUGGAACCCAUCGCUGAUAAGGUUAUCAUUGCUUUGGAGUAGCCCUGAGAUGGAGAGGCUUGAACAUUUGCUAUGUUUG
Panicum virgatum (switchgrass) is the source of this 1340-nucleotide long non-coding RNA. RefSeq lists it as uncharacterized. The transcript is spliced from 4 exons. Lineage: Eukaryota; Viridiplantae; Streptophyta; Magnoliopsida; Poales; Poaceae. The record is from RefSeq and is a predicted model, not a curated record.